GGUGAACGCUGGCGGCGUACUUAAGACAUGCAAGUCGAACGGCAGUCUUCGGACUGUAGUGGCGCACGGGUGAGUAACGCGUAACUGACCUACCCCAAAGUCGCGGAUAACGAUUCGAAAGAAUCGCUAAUACGUGAUGUGCUGUCAGAUUGUGUUCUGCCAGUAAAGAUUGAUUGCUUUGGGAUGGGGUUGCGUUCCAUCAGCUAGUUGGUGGGGUAAAGGCCCACCAAGGCGACGACGGAUAGCCGGCCUGAGAGGGUGGCCGGCCACAGGGGCACUGAGACACGGGUCCCACUCCUACGGGAGGCAGCAGUUAGGAAUCUUCCACAAUGGGCGAAAGCCUGAUGGAGCGACGCCGCGUGAGGGAUGAAGGUCUUCGGAUCGUAAACCUCUGAAUCAGGGACGAAAGACACUUCGGUGGGAUGACGGUACCUGAGUAAUAGCACCGGCUAACUCCGUGCCAGCCGCCGCCGUAA
RNAcentral lists this ribosomal RNA (476 nucleotides) under uncultured bacterium. RNAcentral's name for it is "partial 16S ribosomal RNA". It matches the Rfam family "Bacterial small subunit ribosomal RNA", at positions 28 to 523 of the family's 1533-position model. The record is from RNAcentral.